Molecule: long non-coding RNA, 1380 nt
Organism: Daktulosphaira vitifoliae (grape phylloxera)
Lineage: Eukaryota; Metazoa; Arthropoda; Insecta; Hemiptera; Phylloxeridae
Exons: 3
Source: RefSeq, a predicted model, not a curated record
CGCGGGGCUGUGUCAAUUACAAUAAAAAUUUGUUAUAUAUAUAUAUAUAUAAUUGAUGAUAAGCGCGCGUCUACGGGUUGGAAAAUAUUGUUCUCUACGAGUGGUGAGCGGGGUGGGGCGAAUGCGUUACAACAGUAUAGUCUCAAGGUCAUACACGACGGGAUACGCGACAUAAUAACACGUGCCGCGUGGAGUUACAAACUUACAAACGAUAAACAACAAACAACAAACAACAUACACGUGAAACUAAUAUAAGCGUGUUAAAAAUAAUUAUUACUAACUCAGGCACGUAUUAAAAUGUAGCUGUUUAAAAAUGAAGAAAAUAACAGAAGACAAUUUGGGCUUUAACAAUAUAAUAAUAAGCAAAAUUAUACUUAACUUACAUCAAAUUCUUGAUCUUCAAAAUUUAUUCUACCGGAUUCAUCUAUUACUGAUUUAAUUGGUUGAUAUAUUAAUGGAAGCCUUUAAUUGCUUGAAGCUUAUAAAGUUAGAUGGGAAUAUUACUACCAGCUUGAGAUAAAUAUCUUAGACAUUGACAUUAAAUCACGAAAAAGGAGUUGAAGACCUUGUUUUAUUCAUUUAUAUCUUAAAUUGUUAGCAAAAAAAGUCUAAUUCUUAAUAAAUGAUAAGGAUUAUUUUUAGGGUCCCAUUAAUUCUAAUUUUUUUUAGUUGCCAUAAAAACUUAUUAUGGUUUUGACAAUAUUAUAAAAAAAAAAAAAAAAAAAAUAGAGAUAUAUAAGGUGUGCGCAAAAAAUAACGGGAAUUUUCGUUUUUUGAAAAAAAUAUUUAUUUAUUUGACUACAUUUAUGUUGUCGCCUUCAAAAAAGUCCCCAUUAGAUAUUAUGCACUUAUGCUAAAGCUUGUGAUCUUCAACAUCUUCACUAUCAUCUUGGAAACCCUUAUAAACUCGUAAACCCUAGCUUUACUCAUGGCAGACUCACCAUAGGCCUAUGUUUUAGAUUUCACAUAAAUUGUUACCCUUAAUUUCAUUUUUUUACACAAAAUUUUAAACAAAUCUUUUGAUCCAUUUUUUUUAAUGAACAAAAAUUGCCAAGCUCAUAAAAACAAGUCUAACUGUCAGCGGCUGCUACUGGCAAAGUAAAAAAUGGAUCCAACUGAAAAUUUAAUCAUACUUCAGGGACAUGUGUACCAACUAUAUGAAAUUUUUUUUUGUUAAUUGGACUUUCCAAACCCAUGAAAUCUAAAAAUUCCCAUUAUUUUCUGAAGACACUAUAUACAAAUCAUCAAUAUCCAUACUAACAUUAUCCAUUGUGAAAAAUUCUCUAUCCCAAUUUAAAGUGACUCCAAGAUUUACUAACUGAUUUUUUAUCACUUUCAUUUUUUCAUUUUUCCAUUUUUCCAUUUUUCCAUUUCAUAAUU